GUGGGGAAUAUUGGACAAUGGGCGAAAGCCUGAUCCAGCCAUGCCGCGUGUGUGAAGAAGGUCUUCGGAUUGUAAAGCACUUUAAGUUGGGAGGAAGGGCAGUAAGUUAAUACCUUGCUGUUUUGACGUUACCGACAGAAUAAGCACCGGCUAACUUCGUGCCAGCAGCCGCGGUAAUACGAAGGGUGCAAGCGUUAAUCGGAAUUACUGGGCGUAAAGCGCGCGUAGGUGGUUCGUUAAGUUGGAUGUGAAAGCCCCGGGAUCAACCUGGGAACUGCAUCCAAAACUGGCGAGCUAGAGUACGGUAGAGGGUGGUGGAAUUUCCUGUGUAGCGGUGAAAUGCGUAGAUAUAGGAAGGAACACCAGUGGCGAAGGCGACCACCUGGACUGAUACUGACACUGAGGUGCGAAAGCGUGGGGAGCAAACAGGAUUAGAAACCCCUGUAGUCC
Molecule: ribosomal RNA, 450 nt
Filed under: uncultured bacterium
Lineage: Bacteria
Description: partial 16S ribosomal RNA
Rfam family: Bacterial small subunit ribosomal RNA
Source: RNAcentral